RNAcentral lists this transfer RNA (77 nucleotides) under bacterium. Its description in RNAcentral is "tRNA-Pro". It matches the Rfam family "tRNA". From Rfam's summary of the family: Transfer RNA (tRNA) molecules are approximately 80 nucleotides in length. Their secondary structure includes four short double-helical elements and three loops (D, anti-codon, and T loops). Further hydrogen bonds mediate the characteristic L-shaped molecular structure. tRNAs have two regions of fundamental functional importance: the anti-codon, which is responsible for specific mRNA codon recognition, and the 3' end, to which the tRNAs corresponding amino acid is attached (by aminoacyl-tRNA synthetases). tRNAs cope with the degeneracy of the genetic code in two manners: having more than one tRNA (with a specific anti-codon) for a particular amino acid; and 'wobble' base-pairing, i.e. permitting non-standard base-pairing at the 3rd anti-codon position. RNAcentral also lists the same sequence under 2 other names. The record is from RNAcentral.
CGGGGAGUAGCUCAGGCUGGUAGAGUGUCUGCUUUGGGAGCAGAAAGUCGCAGGUUCGAAUCCUGUCUCCCCGACCA